RNAcentral lists this ribosomal RNA (388 nucleotides) under uncultured bacterium. Its description in RNAcentral is "bacterial SSU rRNA". It matches the Rfam family "Bacterial small subunit ribosomal RNA", at positions 29 to 408 of the family's 1533-position model. The record is from RNAcentral.
AACGAACGCUGGCGGCGCGCCUAAUACAUGCAAGUCGAGCGAGAAGACGUAGCAAUAUGUUUGUAAAGCGGCGAACGGGUGAGGAACACAUGGGUAACCUACCCUAGAGUGGGGAAUAACUAGCCGAAAGGUUAGCUAAUACCGCGUACGCUCCUUGGACUUCGGUACAGGGAGGAAAGCGAUACCGUGGGUAUCGCGCUCUUGGAUGGGCUCAUGUCCUAUCAGCUUGNGGUGAGGUAACGGCUCACCAAGGCUUCGACGGGUAGCUGGUCUGAGAGGACGAUCAGCCACACUGGCACUGCGACACGGGCCAGACUCCUACGGGAGGCAGCAGUAAGGAAUAUUGCGCAAUGGGCGAAAGCCUGACGCAGCGACGCCGCGUGGGGGA